This 1345-nucleotide ribosomal RNA is filed under the name metagenome. Its description in RNAcentral is "bacterial SSU rRNA". It matches the Rfam family "Bacterial small subunit ribosomal RNA", at positions 131 to 1477 of the family's 1533-position model. The record is from RNAcentral.
GAGUAAUGGGGGAUAACGCACCGAAAGGUGUGCUAAUACCGCAUACGCCCUGAGGGGGAAAGUGGGGGAUCGUAAGACCUCACGUUAUUCGAGCGGCCGACGUCUGAUUAGCUAGUUGGUGAGGUAAUGGCUCACCAAGGCGACGAUCAGUAGCGGGUCUGAGAGGAUGAUCCGCCACACUGGGACUGAGACACGGCCCAGACUCCUACGGGAGGCAGCAGUGGGGAAUUUUGGACAAUGGGGGCAACCCUAAUCCAGCCAUUCCGCGUGUGAAGAAGGCCUUCGGGUUGUAAAGCUCUUUCAGCAGGAACGAAACGGUGCGCUCUAACAUAGCGUGCUAAUGACGGUACCUGCAGAAGAAGCACCGGCUAACUACGUGCCAGCAGCCGCGGUAAUACGUAGGGUGCGAGCGUUAAUCGGAAUUACUGGGCGUAAAGCGUGCGCAGGCGGAUUGUUAAGCAAGACGUGAAAUCCCCGGGCUUAACCUGGGAAUGGCGUUUUGAACUGGCAGUCUAGAGUGUGUCAGAGGGGGGUGGAAUUCCACGUGUAGCAGUGAAAUGCGUAGAGAUGUGGAGGAACACCGAUGGCGAAGGCAGCCCCCUGGGAUAACACUGACGCUCAUGUACGAAAGCGUGGGUAGCAAACAGGAUUAGAUACCCUGGUAGUCCACGCCCUAAACGAUGUCAACUGGUUGUUGGGGGAGUGAAAUCCCUUAGUAACGAAGCUAACGCGUGAAGUUGACCGCCUGGGGAGUACGGUCGCAAGAUUAAAACUCAAAGGAAUUGACGGGGACCCGCACAAGCGGUGGAUGAUGUGGAUUAAUUCGAUGCAACGCGAAAAACCCUACCUACCCUUGACAUGUCCAGAAUCCUGCAGAGAUGCGGGAGUGCCCGAAAGGGAAUUGGAACACAGGUGCUGCAUGGCUGUCGUCAGCUCGUGUCGUGAGAUGUUGGGUUAAGUCCCGCAACGAGCGCAACCCUUAUCAUUAGUUGCUACGCAAGGGCACUCUAAUGAGACUGCCGGUGACAAACCGGAGGAAGGUGGGGAUGACGUCAAGUCCUCAUGGCCCUUAUGGGUAGGGCUUCACACGUCAUACAAUGGUCGGUACAGAGGGUUGCCAAGCCGCGAGGUGGAGCCAAUCCCAGAAAGCCGAUCGUAGUCCGGAUUGUUCUCUGCAACUCGAGAGCAUGAAGUCGGAAUCGCUAGUAAUCGCGGAUCAGCAUGUCGCGGUGAAUACGUUCCCGGGUCUUGUACACACCGCCCGUCACACCAUGGGAGUGGAAUCUGCCAGAAGUAGGUAGCCUAACCGCAAGGGGGGCGCUUACCACGGUGGGUUUCAUGACUG